Molecule: ribosomal RNA, 391 nt
Filed under: uncultured bacterium
Lineage: Bacteria
Description: partial 16S ribosomal RNA
Rfam family: Bacterial small subunit ribosomal RNA
Source: RNAcentral
AUACGGAGGAUGCGAGCGUUAUCCGGAUUUAUUGGGUUUAAAGGGUGCGCAGGCGGCCAUUUAAGUCAGCGGUUAAAUCGUGGGGCUCAACCCCAUUCUGCCGUUGAUACUGGGUGGCUUGAUUGCGGUCGAGGUUGGCGGAAUUCGUUGUGUAGCGGUGAAAUGCAUAGAUAUGACGAAGAACACCGAUUGCGUAGGCAGCUGCCCGGACCGCAAAUGACCUUAAUGCACGAAGUGCGGGGAUCGAACAGGAUUAGAUACCCUGGUAGUCCGCACAGUAAACGAUGAAUACUUGUUUUCGGCGAUAUAAUGUCGGAGGCAAAGCGAAAGCGAUAAGUAUUCCACCUGGGGAGUACGCCGGCAACGGUGAAACUUAAAGGAAUUGACGGGG